This 85-nucleotide transfer RNA is filed under the name Felis catus (domestic cat). It matches the Rfam family "tRNA". Rfam says of the family: Transfer RNA (tRNA) molecules are approximately 80 nucleotides in length. Their secondary structure includes four short double-helical elements and three loops (D, anti-codon, and T loops). Lineage: Eukaryota; Metazoa; Chordata; Mammalia; Carnivora; Felidae. The record is from Rfam by way of RNAcentral.
GCCUGGGUGGCUCAGUGGGUUGAGCGUCUGAUUUCAGCUCAGGUCAUGGUCUCACGGUUUGUGAGUUCAAGUCCUAUGUCGGGCU